AAACGACUCUCGACAACGGAUAUCUCGGCUCUCGCAUCGAUGAAGAACGUAGCGAAAUGCGAUACUUGGUGUGAAUUGCAGAAUCCCGUGAACCAUCGAGUCUUUGAACGCAAGUUGCGCCCCAAGCCGUUAGGCCGAGGGCACGCCUGCCUGGGUGUCACAC
RNAcentral lists this ribosomal RNA (163 nucleotides) under Oxalis glaucescens. RNAcentral describes it as "5.8S ribosomal RNA". It matches the Rfam family "5.8S ribosomal RNA". From Rfam's summary of the family: 5.8S ribosomal RNA (5.8S rRNA) is a component of the large subunit of the eukaryotic ribosome. It is transcribed by RNA polymerase I as part of the 45S precursor that also contains 18S and 28S rRNA. The record is from RNAcentral. Lineage: Eukaryota; Viridiplantae; Streptophyta; Magnoliopsida; Oxalidales; Oxalidaceae.